This 516-nucleotide ribosomal RNA is filed under the name uncultured Streptomyces sp. RNAcentral's name for it is "bacterial SSU rRNA". It matches the Rfam family "Bacterial small subunit ribosomal RNA", at positions 144 to 674 of the family's 1533-position model. The record is from RNAcentral. Lineage: Bacteria; Bacillati; Actinomycetota; Actinomycetes; Kitasatosporales; Streptomycetaceae.
CAAGCCCUGGAAACGGGGUCUAAUACCGGAUAUGACUGUCCAUCGCAUGGUGGAUGGUGUAAAGCUCCGGCGGUGCAGGAUGAGCCCGCGGCCUAUCAGCUUGUUGGUGAGGUAGUGGCUCACCAAGGCGACGACGGGUAGCCGGCCUGAGAGGGCGACCGGCCACACUGGGACUGAGACACGGCCCAGACUCCUACGGGAGGCAGCAGUGGGGAAUAUUGCACAAUGGGCGAAAGCCUGAUGCAGCGACGCCGCGUGAGGGAUGACGGCCUUCGGGUUGUAAACCUCUUUCAGCAGGGAGGAAGCGAAAGUGACGGUACCUGCAGAAGAAGCGCCGGCUAACUACGUGCCAGCAGCCGCGGUAAUACGUAGGGCGCAAGCGUUGUCCGGAAUUACUGGGCGUAAAGAGCUCGUAGGCGGCUUGUCACGUCGGUUGUGAAAGCCCGGGGCUUAACCCCGGGUCUGCAGUCGGUACGGGCAGGCUAGAGUUCGGUAGGGGAGAUCGGAAUUCCUGGU